CUUCAGCUGGUCACCCUCUUGAAGGAUCUGGUCGACACCCACAAUGCGCUCAUGGCUGAUCUGGCUUAUAUGCAGCAGACCAGUGAUCUCUCCCAGGUCCACAAACGCACCGUAUGGCUUGAUUAAGCUCACCACACCCUGCACCAAAUCGCCAGGCUGAUACUUGUCAAGUAUGCCCUCAGCUUCCUCACGCUUUUGGAAGGUCUCUGCCGCAUUCUCAAACACACGCUGUGGAUCGCGCAGCAUGUCACCCGGCUUGGGCUCUAGCUUCUUGGUGGACAGGGUGAGGCGGCUUCGGUUGCGGUCCGUUUGCAGCACCAAGACCUGCAAUCAAUGUAAGCGCUUACCCAUGUGAUGAGGCAAGAACAGCACAAGAAUUGGGCGCAUGGGAGAAUGAGCGGCGGUGACAGAACGAGGAGAGGACACUUACGCAAGACAUUGAAAUGGUGGAGGGUGAACACGGAGACAGUCGGGUAAGUUAGCGUAAAGGGGAACGCCCUGGCAAGCAUUGAUUACUUGCUAUCCAAGCUUACUCCCAGCUGGUUAGGGUCCCUUCCUUCAUCUCUUCAAGCAAAGCUCGGAGGCUGUCGACAAGUGACACGUGGCUGGUCCUCUGGUGCAUCUUGCACACUCAAUUGCUCACAAAAAAGCUGCAUCGCUCGCGAACAUACCAUCAGCUGGUCACCCUCUUGAAGGAUCUGGUCGACGCCCCCGUGCUUAAUGCGGUAAUUGCUGAUCUGGCUUCUAUGCAGCAGACCAGUGAUAUCUCCCAGGUCCACAAAUGCACCAUAUGGCAUGAUGGAUCUCACCACACCCUGCACCAGUUCGCCAGGCUGAUACUUGUCAAGGAUGCCCUCAGCUUUUGCCUCUGCGCUCUGGAAGCGAGCUGAUGACUUUGAAUCCA
This 904-nucleotide long non-coding RNA is filed under the name Dunaliella salina. RNAcentral describes it as "long non-coding RNA (DSAL_LNC000358)". Lineage: Eukaryota; Viridiplantae; Chlorophyta; Chlorophyceae; Chlamydomonadales; Dunaliellaceae. The record is from RNAcentral.